AAACUUUUCACUCUUGCUUUUCGCAGUUGCAUGUGUUAUUAAUAUUCUUUUAACGAUAUUUACUUGGAAGCAUUGGAACGGCUGUAUUUUAAACAAUGUCAUGCCUAGUGUCAAUGUUGUUUUGGAAGCAGUGGUAGGGGAGAGUGUUUUGUGGUCCAUGGCUAGAGCUAGGGCUCUCCAUGAACUCCUGUGUCUGUCUAUCCUGUUGACUGAACAUCUACAUCUUCUCACAAUACAAGCCAAGCCCUAG
This 250-nucleotide long non-coding RNA is filed under the name Oryza sativa Indica Group (long-grained rice). RNAcentral's name for it is "lncRNA OsLiXu_Ung0065700". Lineage: Eukaryota; Viridiplantae; Streptophyta; Magnoliopsida; Poales; Poaceae. The record is from RNAcentral.